ACAGAGAAGUGCUUGCACUUUCAAAGUUAGCGGCGGACGGGUGAGUAACACGUAAGGAACCUACCGAUAAGCGGGGGACAACAUCCGGAAACGGGUGCUAAUACCGCAUAGGAAGUUUGUUCGCGUGAACAAACUUAGAAAGAUGGCUCUGCUAUCACUUAUCGAUGGCCUUGCGGUGCAUUAACUAGUUGGCGAGGUAACGGCUCACCAAGGUGAUGAUGCAUAGCCGACCUGAGAGGGUAAUCGGCCACAUUGGGACUGAGACACGGCCCAAACUCCUACGGGAGGCAGCAGUAGGGAAUCUUCCGCAAUGGACGCAAGUCUGACGGAGCAACGCCGCGUGAGUGAAGAAGGUUUUCGGAUCGUAAAACUCUGUUGUAAGAGAAGAACAAAUUGUAGAGUAACUGCUACAGUCUUGACGGUAUCUUACCAGAAAGCCACGGCUAACUACGUGCCAGCAGCCGCGGUAAUACGUAGGUGGCAAGCGUUGUCCGGAUUUAUUGGGCGUAAAGGGGGCGCAGGCUGCUUCUUAAGUCUGAUGUGAAAGCCCACGGCUUAACCGUGGAAGUGCAUUGGAAACUGGGAAGCUUGAGUACAGAAGAGGAAAGUGGAACUCCAUGUGUAGCGGUGGAAUGCGUAGAUAUAUGGAAGAACACCAGUGGCGAAAGCGACUUUCUGGUCUGUCACUGA
This 690-nucleotide ribosomal RNA is filed under the name uncultured bacterium. Its description in RNAcentral is "bacterial SSU rRNA". It matches the Rfam family "Bacterial small subunit ribosomal RNA", at positions 69 to 743 of the family's 1533-position model. The record is from RNAcentral.